GCCGGUGUAGCUCAGGGGCAGAGCAGCUCACUCGUAAUGAGCAGGCCGUCGGUUCGAUUCCGACCACCGGCU
RNAcentral lists this transfer RNA (72 nucleotides) under Gemmatimonadales bacterium. RNAcentral describes it as "tRNA-Thr". It matches the Rfam family "tRNA". Rfam says of the family: Transfer RNA (tRNA) molecules are approximately 80 nucleotides in length. The record is from RNAcentral. Lineage: Bacteria; Pseudomonadati; Gemmatimonadota; Gemmatimonadia; Gemmatimonadales.